This 481-nucleotide ribosomal RNA is filed under the name Bacillus sp. (in: firmicutes). RNAcentral's name for it is "bacterial SSU rRNA". It matches the Rfam family "Bacterial small subunit ribosomal RNA", at positions 19 to 496 of the family's 1533-position model. The record is from RNAcentral. Lineage: Bacteria; Bacillati; Bacillota; Bacilli; Caryophanales; Bacillaceae.
AUGGCUCAGGACGAACGCUGGCGGCGUGCCUAAUACAUGCAAGUCGAGCGAAUCGAUGGGAGCUUGCUCCCUGAGAUUAGCGGCGGACGGGUGAGUAACACGUGGGCAACCUGCCUAUAAGACUGGGAUAACUUCGGGAAACCGGAGCUAAUACCGGAUACGUUCUUUUCUCGCAUGAGAGAAGAUGGAAAGACGGUUUACGCUGUCACUUAUAGAUGGGCCCGCGGCGCAUUAGCUAGUUGGUGAGGUAAUGGCUCACCAAGGCGACGAUGCGUAGCCGACCUGAGAGGGUGAUCGGCCACACUGGGACUGAGACACGGCCCAGACUCCUACGGGAGGCAGCAGUAGGGAAUCUUCCGCAAUGGACGAAAGUCUGACGGAGCAACGCCGCGUGAACGAAGAAGGCCUUCGGGUCGUAAAGUUCUGUUGUUAGGGAAGAACAAGUACCAGAGUAACUGCUGGUACCUGACGUACCUACCAG